AGUGAACGCUGGCGGUAGGCCUAACACAUGCAAGUCGAACGGCAGCACAGUAAGAGCUUGCUCUUACGGGUGGCGAGUGGCGGACGGGUGAGGAAUACAUCGGAAUCUACUUUUUCGUGGGGGAUAACGUAGGGAAACUUACGCUACUACCGCAUACGACCUACGGCUGAAAUCAGUGGAUCUUCGGACCUUGCGCGAUUGAAUGAGCCGAUGUCGGAUUAGCUAGUUGGCGGGGUAAAGGCCCACCAAGGCGACGAUCCGUAGCUGGUCUGAGAGGAUGAUCAGCCACACUGGAACUGAGACACGGUCCAGACUCCUACGGGAGGCAGCAGUGGGGAAUAUUGGACAAUGGGCGAAAGCCUGAUCCAGCAAUACCGCGUGGGUGAAGAAGGCCUUCGGGUUGUAAAGCCCUUUUGUUGGGAAAGAAAAGCAGCAGGUUAAUACCCCGAUGUUCUGACGGUACCCAAAGAAUAAGCACCGGCUAACUUCGUG
Molecule: ribosomal RNA, 492 nt
Filed under: uncultured bacterium
Lineage: Bacteria
Description: partial 16S ribosomal RNA
Rfam family: Bacterial small subunit ribosomal RNA
Source: RNAcentral